UAAUAUUUACCGUUAACACUUCGUAUAAUCUCAAUGAUAUGGUUUGAGAGUUUCUACCAAGAGCCCUAAACUCUUGAUUAUGAAGACUUUACUUUAUGUA
RNAcentral lists this non-coding RNA (100 nucleotides) under Shewanella pealeana. RNAcentral describes it as "Guanine sequence". It matches the Rfam family "Purine riboswitch aptamer". Rfam says of the family: Riboswitches are metabolite binding domains within certain messenger RNAs that serve as precision sensors for their corresponding targets. RNAcentral also lists the same sequence under 1 other name. Lineage: Bacteria; Pseudomonadati; Pseudomonadota; Gammaproteobacteria; Alteromonadales; Shewanellaceae. The record is from RNAcentral.